GAAUUGACGGGGGCCCGCACAAGCGGUGGAGCAUGUGGUUUAAUUCGAUGCAACGCGAAGAACCUUACCUGGUCUUGACAUCCACGGAAGUUUUCAGAGAUGAGAAUGUGCCUUCGGGAACCGUGAGACAGGUGCUGCAUGGCUGUCGUCAGCUCGUGUUGUGAAAUGUUGGGUUAAGUCCCGCAACGAGCGCAACCCUUAUCCUUUGUUGCCAGCGGUCCGGCCGGGAACUCAAAGGAGACUGCCAGUGAUAAACUGGAGGAAGGUGGGGAUGACGUCAAGUCAUCAUGGCCCUUACGACCAGGGCUACACACGUGCUACAAUGGCGCAUACAAAGAGAAGCGACCUCGCGAGAGCAAGCGGACCUCAUAAAGUGCGUCGUAGUCCGGAUUGGAGUCUGCAACUCGACUCCAUGAAGUCGGAAUCGCUAGUAAUCGUGGAUCAGAAUGCCACGGUGAAUACGUUCCCGGGCCUUGUACACACCGCCCGUCACACCAUGGGAGUGGGUUGCAAAAGAAGUAGGUAGCUUAACCUUCGGGAGGGCGCUUACCACUUUGUGAUUCAUGACUGGGGUGAAGUCGUAACAAGGUAACC
Molecule: ribosomal RNA, 594 nt
Filed under: Escherichia coli
Lineage: Bacteria; Pseudomonadati; Pseudomonadota; Gammaproteobacteria; Enterobacterales; Enterobacteriaceae
Also listed under: 2 other names
Description: partial 16S ribosomal RNA
Rfam family: Bacterial small subunit ribosomal RNA
Source: RNAcentral